RNAcentral lists this long non-coding RNA (951 nucleotides) under Nicotiana benthamiana. RNAcentral's name for it is "long non-coding RNA (NBEN_LNC040678)". Lineage: Eukaryota; Viridiplantae; Streptophyta; Magnoliopsida; Solanales; Solanaceae. The record is from RNAcentral.
UCUCUUUUUGUAUAUACUUUACUCUCUUCUUUCACCAACUCACGAUUCAUACCUCUUCUCCCACCCAAACUUUCUAGGUCUCUGUCAUUAUCACUCCCUGUUUCUUCUCUGUAAAAUCACUGCUUUAGAGUCGAUAUAAGUGCUUAGGGUAAAUUUAAUUCUUAGAUUUUAAUAUCAUUAUUUGGUUUCUCUAAUUUUGAUACAGAUUUUAGUUUGUUUCUGAAACAAUAAUUAUUUAUGCAGACGCAAGGAUGGUGGCGCGUAGGAGUGACGCGUUUGCGGAAGCGGAAGUGACGAAGUGGAAGAUUGUAUUUUGUGGGCAAGAUGAGUGUUGAAGAAUGGAAAGAAUAGACGCCAUUGAGCCACGUAUAUAGGUAGAAUCAAGUGUCAUAGCUACAUGAACAACUUCAAUAGAGCAUAUUAAGUUUUGGGUAUUUUCAAUGGAAGGACAUUCAGGGGAGUUAUAGAAUUUAGGUGCUUCUCUGAACUGUUGUGGGAUUUUUGUAAUGGCGGCAUUGUGUAUUCUGACGGCGGCGGUGGUAGCGGUUGUGGAAUAAAUGAUAAAAAAAGAAAGGAAAUUAAUCGCCAGAAAUUAGGGUUUGUACUUGAACAAAAAUGACGGAUUUUGGGCUGAGAAACUUAAUUUUCUGUUGAUAUAUUUUAAUGUAUUUUCAGCCACAUUGUAUUUUUGUGUAUUUCAUUGUAUUCAUUGUCCUUUUUCAUUGUAAUUCAGUAUAUCUGUUGUAUUUCAUGUAUUUCAUUUUAUUUACUAUCUUUUUUUUCUCAUUGUUAUAUUUCGCUAUAUUAUAUGUAUUUCAUUGUAUUCAUUGUCUCGCUAUAUGCCAUGAAUGUAUUUAUAUACUCCCUCCGGUCCACAAUAAGUGUCUGUUUUACUUUUUUAUUUAACAAGUAUCUACUUAAAUAAUCAAGAAAAUUUUUAAUUUGUUUUUA